UCAGGCGGGGCGCUUAAUGCGUUAGCUACGUCACGGAAACCGUGGAAUGGUCCCCACAACUAGCGCCCAACGUUUACGGCGUGGACUACCAGGGUAUCUAAUCCUGUUUGCUCCCCACGCUUUCGCUCCUCAGCGUCAGUAACGGCCCAGAGAACUGCCUUCGCCAUUGGUGUUCCUCCUGAUAUCUGCGCAUUCCACCGCUACACCAGGAAUUCCAUUCUCCCCUACCGCACUCUAGUCUGCCCGUACCCACUGCAGGCCCGAGGUUGAGCCUCGGGUUUUCACAGCAGACGCGACAAACCGCCUACGAGCUCUUUACGCCCAAUAAUUCCGGACAACGCUUGCACCCUACGUAUUACCGCGGCUGCUGGCACGUAGUUAGCCGGUGCUUUUUCUGUAGGUACCGUCACUUUCGCUUCUUCCCUACUAAAAGAGGUUUACAACCCGAAGGCCGUCAUCCCUCACGCGGCGUUGCUGCAUCAGGCUUUCGCCCAUUGUGCAAUAUUCCCCACUGCUGCCUCCCGUA
This 526-nucleotide ribosomal RNA is filed under the name uncultured Actinomycetes bacterium. Its description in RNAcentral is "uncultured actinobacterium partial 16S ribosomal RNA". Lineage: Bacteria; Bacillati; Actinomycetota; Actinomycetes. The record is from RNAcentral.